This 233-nucleotide ribosomal RNA is filed under the name uncultured bacterium. RNAcentral's name for it is "partial 16S ribosomal RNA". It matches the Rfam family "Bacterial small subunit ribosomal RNA", at positions 103 to 334 of the family's 1533-position model. The record is from RNAcentral.
CGGGUGAGUAACGCGUGAGGAACCUGCCUCAAAGAGGGGGACAACAGUUGGAAACGACUGCUAAUACCGCAUAAGCCCACGGCUCGGCAUCGAGCAGAGGGAAAAAGAGUGAUCCGCUUUGAGAUGGCCUCGCGUCCGAUUAGCUAGUUGGUGAGGUAACGGCCCACCAAGGCGACGAUCGGUAGCCGGACUGAGAGGUUGAACGGCCACAUUGGGACUGAGACACGGCCCAG